GUUGUGCUGGUGCUGGAAGAUUAUAGACUUUGUGGACACUGAACAUAGAUCAGAAGCUUUCUGGAGCAUAUUUCUCUCAAAACCAAAGAAAACCACUGCAGGCAAUGCUUUUUAGCAGUGUUUCAACAGCAUAGACCAGAGUUAUCUGUUUAUGGGGAAGACAGAGGAUCUGAACAGGGCACUGUGAAAUGGUGCUAAGAGAUAGAAGGUGUGAGAAGCAAAAGAAACAUUGGAAAAAUGUACACUGGGAGCAUGAAGUGAGAAGAAAAGUUUGUGACAUGCUUUUACUCCUCUCAAAGUGGAAAUACUACUACUAAAUUAAUGGUCUUCUACAGUAGACACCUUCUGACUGGUAGACCUAUUAAGGAAAACAUGAUGAUACG
Molecule: long non-coding RNA, 383 nt
Organism: Lepidothrix coronata (blue-crowned manakin)
Lineage: Eukaryota; Metazoa; Chordata; Aves; Passeriformes; Pipridae
Exons: 3
Source: RefSeq, a predicted model, not a curated record